CAGGGCAGUGGGCAGAAGGACUUUCAGGCUACCUUCUCAAAUGGUGACAUCCUGAACAUUCAAACUUCAAAAUGAUCCACCAGUUUUAGUUCAGUUUGGGGGAUAUUCUCAGGGAGUUCUGAUACAGCAGAAUGUUGUAAAUAGAAUUAAUAUUUACUACAACCAGAGAUUAACAUGGUAUGACUAAAGCUUUAAAUAAUUUGGCUUUGAUAGCCCCAUCAUUUUCUGAGAGCUUGGAACGGAAUUUGGACUCUACCUCUGUACUAUCCUAGAUUAUAAUGCCAUCCUUGCCUAAUGAGGGAGAUAACCAUAGAACUCGUCUGACUUUGAGCUCGGAACUACCUUAUCAAAGCACAAUUAAAAGAAAAGUCAGGAAGAAGAAGAAUGGAGUCAUCACUGCAAAUGUUGCUGGCACAAAAUAUGAAAUUGUACGUGUAGUAAUACGAGAAAUGGGAUUUGUGAAAACGCGCGAUGAAGAUGAAACAGCGAAUCUUAUUUGGAGUGAUUGUGCUGUGCAACAGGAAAAGAUUGCUGAACUUCGGAACUACCAGAGAAUCAACCAUUUUCCAGGAAUGGGAGAGAUCUGCAGAAAGGACUUCCUGGCAAGAAACAUGACAAAAAUGAUCAAGUGUCAGCCUCAGGAGUAUGGUUUUAUUCCUCGAACGUGGAUCUUCCCUGCAGAAUACACACAGUUUCAGAACUAUGUAAAAGAACUGAAGAAGAAACGUAGACAGAAAACUUUCAUAGUCAAACCAGCUAAUGGUGCAAUGGGGCAUGGAAUCUCUUUAGUAAGAAAUGGAGAAAAAUUACAAGCCCAGGAUCACUUGAUUGUCCAGGAAUAUCUUGACAAACCCUUUCUUAUGGAAGGCUACAAGUUUGAUUUACGCAUAUAUAUUCUCGUAACGUCUUGUGAUCCAUUAAAAAUAUUUUUAUAUCAUGAUGGACUGGUGAGAAUGGGCACAGAGAAGUAUCAUCCACCCAGUGAUUCAAAUUUGAGCCAAUUGUAUAUGCAUCUGACUAACUAUUCUGUCAAUAAACAUAACGAACACUUUGAACGGGAUGAAACAGAAGACAAAGGAAGUAAACGAUCCAUCAAAUGGUUUACUGAGUUUCUAGAAACAAAUAACCUUGAUGUCUCCAAAUUCUGGAAUGAUAUUUCAGAGCUAGUAGUGAAGACUCUCAUAGUUGCAGAGCCACAUGUUCUUCAUGCUUAUCGCAUGUGCAGGCCAGGGCAAGCACCAGGAAGUGACAGUGUCUGCUUUGAAGUCCUGGGAUUUGAUAUUCUGCUGGACAGAAAACUAAAACCAUGGCUCCUGGAGAUUAAUCGUGCCCCAAGCUUUGGAACUGAUCAAAAAAUAGACCAUGAUGUAAAAAAAGGUGUUCUGCUAAAUGCAUUAAAGCUUCUCAACAUACGGACAAGUGAUAAAAGGAGAAACUUAGCCCAACAGAAAGCUGAAGCUCAAAAAAGGCUGUAUGGCCAAGGCUCUAUGAAAAGACUGUUGCCAGGUUCUUCAGACUGGGAAAAACAGCGCCACACACUGGAAAGGAGAAAAGAAGAACUGAAAGAAAGACUUGCACAAGUGCGUAAACAGAUUUCCAAAGAAGAGCAUGAAAAUAGACACAUGGGGAACUACAGGCGAAUUUACCCACCUGAUGAUAAGACUUUACUUGAAAAGUAUGAGAGUUUGUUAGCCACUGCUUUCCAGACAUUCCUUGCUGGGAGAGCAGCUUCACUUCAGCGGGAAAUGAAUAACCCUUUAAAAAGAAUGAAGGAAGAGGAUAUUCUGGAUCUUCUGGAGCAAUGUGAAAUAGAUGAUGAAAAACUAAUGGGAAAAUCCAUGAGACAGCGAGGACCUAAGCCCUUGUUUUCUAUGCCAGAAAGUGCACAGACCUUAAGAAAACUCAGGAACUACAAUAGUGACAGUAGCUGUGAUAGCAGUAGCAAUAUGUCAGAAUCGGAAGAAGAAACUGAAAAGGAAGAUCACAAUGAAAAAAAGGAGAAAAAAGUAUCAUAUGACCUUGAAGAAAAUAAAUAUAGAACUUUGGAACGAUCAGGUAGAAUGAACUGGAAGCCUUCAAUUAAAAAUAUGAAAGCUCCAUCACAUUCAUCCUCCACAUCAUCCACAGGUCUAAUAAGACGUUCUGUAAGUUGUCCUCGUUCAAUAUCAAUAUUGACGCAAACAGCUGAGCAACGUCCCCUUUCAGCCAAAGCAUCUUUGCAAAUCCAGCGUGCAUCCUCUGUGAAUAGGUCCCAUUCUUUAAAUCGCAGCCCAUGUUCAGCCAGAGUCUCUCAGACGUCCAGCUUGGGAACUAUGAACUCUUCAGCGACUGAGUCUUUGCUGCAACAGAAAACAAAAGGCAAAGAAGAUGCUUUGACAAAAGAGGCUCUUCUCAUUUUCAAUGACAUGAGAAUGAAGUUCCCAGGAAAAACAGAUGAAGAGGCAGAAUUAAUUAUAGAAGAUAUUAUGGAUAAUUGGAAACACCAUAAAACAAAAGUAGCAUCCUAUUGGUUGGUAAAACUGGAUUCUGUAAAGCAACGAAAAGUUUUAGAUAUAGUCAAGACAAGCGUUCAUGCAGUUCUACAGCAUGUCUGGAAGGCUCCAGACAUUGAAAAUUUACAUUUGUACCGUCUUUUUAACCGCGUAUUUAAUCGCUUGCUUUGGAGCCAUGGCCAAGGUCUGUGGAACUGUUUCUGUAAUUCAGGGAGCUCUUGGGAAACCAUAUUCAGUAAAAGCACAGAGGUGGUGACUCCCGAGCAGUUCCAGUGUUGCCAACGAAUAGUACAGCUCUGUAAACACUGCCUGCUGGUGGUGUACAAAUACUCAUCAGACUCAAGAGGUUCCUUGACUGGAAUUAGCCCCAAUUGGGAUGAUACAAGAUCCCUCAAAGUCACUGAUUCCUGAUUUGCAUUCCUAGAGGUAUCCUAACAUGUAUUAUACUUCAAGCUUCACAUUCACAAGUGGAUCCUAUAGGGGCACAGCUUCCAGCCAGGGGUCAGGUAUUUAUUGCCAGGACCUUCACAGUUCCUCAUGAAAUCAUCCUCGUCCAACCUUAGCUGCAGUUCAUCUGGAAUGCCUCGUCCUAACAUUUUGUUUACACACAGAUAUAGUCACCUGUGAAACAGAAGGAGAAUUACUGUUCCUUGUAAAUAAUGGCACUCCAUUUUUUUCGAAUUAAAAGUUGUGAUGGAGCUGAACAUAAGUAUUGUUAUAUUUACCUUCAUAUUAUGAUAACGUUUAGCUGAAAAGCUACUGCAAAAGCAUAGCCUUUCUGGAAACAUAAUAAACCUUAUUUAAGUUGUUUACACACAUAUGUGAAUGUGUAGAUCUUGCUAGGUUUAUAAGUAAUUCCUUCCUACUAGAAAUGUUAUUUUUGCUGCAGAAUAUAUAAAAAUGGAAUUGAUCUUGAAGAUCCUAUUACAGUGUUACAUUAUUUUAUAAGUACAGUACUUCAACUUAAAUAUUUAUUGUAAAAUAUACUAUUUAUUGUCUCAUAUGUAAUUGAUCCUUUAACAAGAUAGGUGAUUAAAAAACUGUAGCAGACCGGCAGAACAGUAAUAGUUACUGAAUGUAAUCUGAUUAUUUCUAGGACACAAAAAAACCCCCAAAACUCUACAAGCCAAAUCUAAAGCAGGCAUCAUUUUAUUUCUCCUCUGAAACUACAAGAUCUAUUUAUUCAUGUUAUCCUUCUUUACGGACAUGGUAUAGUAUAUUUUAGUCAAAGUCAAGCCAAUCUUAUAUGUAAAUAUUAAAAAUAUCAGUUUUAGCAUCCAGUUUCUAAUUGGAUUUUUGUAAUAAAACAGAAGCCAAUGUUUGUUACCAGACUUUCAUUCACAUUACCUAUGUCUUGUGCCUUUAAAUUUCCUUUGGGAGCAAGCAGUCACCUGCAACUAAUACAAGCAUGCAUAGUGCAUAGUUUUUCUGUUUUACUGCACAAAUGGUAAAGCAGAAAUUUUAAGAAUCACUGCAGCUAUAAUAUAUUAUUGAACCUUAAACUAAAUGGUUUGAUGUAGUUUUUAGCAUACAAUCCAGUAUGUGCUGUAGAACGUGUCUUUGAAUGGACAGUAUUUUCUAGCCUUGCUGACACCUCUAAAUGUUGGAAAUAUAAUUCAUUAGAAAGCUCUCAUUCAGAUUCAGCUUUCUGGGCUUGGCUGAAGGGUGCAAUAAGAAACUGACAUAAAUCAGAACCAGAGCAGGAACCGAGUAUUAACAGGAUUUGUAACUGCAAAACCUCCUUCAGGUAUUGCUAUGUACACCCGUUCAUCCCAUUCAGCAUUGUGCCAUAUGGGCCUUACUCAUUAUAUAAAUAAUUAUUAAAAAUUCAGUUAAUUUAGAUUUAAAAUGAAUGAGGUUUUCUAACUGAGUACAGAAGAGAGUAAGUAGUUAUUUACCAAAGACCUGUUUACUUUUCAAUAAUGUAACCUUGAAAUUUUGUUUGGAAGUUAUCAAUGUGUUUCAGGUAAUUAAAAAAAAAAUAAUUUAGGGGUUAGUUGUCCUCAGGAGUGAGUAUCCUGAAGGUUUUUGAUAUCCAGAGGUUUAAGACAAAUUGAGACUGAAGCUGUCUGGAAUUGAAUUUUUUAAAUCAUAGUCAUAGUACAUCUCAAACUGGGAAUUUUGGUGAGAUUUUGAUGCCUGUGCUGUAGUGCCCCAGCUCUGGAUUGCAGGAUACAUCAUAGCAAGACUAUUUGUAAACAAUUUAAAAAACUCUGAGGUUAACCAGGUAUCAGCAAUCUUCUGUUCCAGGUAAAUCUUUUACAUUUUCAACGUAAUAGUAGUUUUGUAAUACAGUAUGUUCACAUCAGUUCACUUUGUAUGUCUCUUUUGGUCCAUACACUGACUACUGAUAAAGCAUACUAUGAUUAUCUGUAAGACCUAAUAAAAUCUAAAAAUUCUC
Molecule: non-coding RNA, 4893 nt
Organism: Struthio camelus australis
Lineage: Eukaryota; Metazoa; Chordata; Aves; Struthioniformes; Struthionidae
Source: RefSeq, a predicted model, not a curated record